AGUGAACGCUGGCGGUAGGCCUAACACAUGCAAGUCGAACGGCAGCACAGUAAGAGCUUGCUCUUACGGGUGGCGAGUGGCGGACGGGUGAGGAAUACAUCGGAAUCUACUUUUUCGUGGGGGAUAACGUAGGGAAACUUACGCUAAUACCGCAUACGACCUACGGGUGAAAGCAGGUGAUCUUCGGACCUUGCGCGAUUGAAUGAGCCGAUGUCGGAUUAGCUAGUUGGCGGGGUAAAGGCCCACCAAGGCGACGAUCCGUAGCUGGUCUGAGAGGAUGAUCAGCCACACUGGAACUGAGACGCGGUCCAGACUCCUACGGGAGGCAGCAGUGGGGAAUAUUGGACAAUGGGCGCAAGCCUGAUCCAGCCAUACCGCGUGGGUGAAGAAGGCCUUCGGGUUGUAAAGCCCUUUUGUUGGGAAAGAAAAGCAGCAGGUUAAUACCCCGCUGUUCUGACGGUACCCAAAGAAUAAGCACCGGCUAACUUCGUG
This 492-nucleotide ribosomal RNA is filed under the name uncultured bacterium. RNAcentral's name for it is "partial 16S ribosomal RNA". It matches the Rfam family "Bacterial small subunit ribosomal RNA", at positions 29 to 507 of the family's 1533-position model. The record is from RNAcentral.